This is a non-coding RNA of Nicotiana tabacum (common tobacco), 3264 nucleotides long. The record is from RefSeq and is a predicted model, not a curated record. NCBI's taxonomy places the organism in Eukaryota, Viridiplantae, Streptophyta, Magnoliopsida, Solanales, Solanaceae.
AAGCCACUUUUUUUUUCCUUUUCAAUCAAGAGAAAGCCACUCAAUAACCAAAAAAUGUUAUUCCAAACAGAUAAAAUGCGUCAAUCUACAGUUAACCGUGUGUUGCAGCAGAGCAGAAAAGGGCAUUGAGUGAAGGAGGAGAUGAGAUUACAUACACCAACUGUGAUUUCUUGCAACGAGGGAAUAAGCUUCUGCCGUGCAAAAAAUAGCUAACAAGCUUCAAUCCAAUACAUAUUGGUACUAUGUGUACGCACCUCGUCAUCUGAAGGUUUUUGGAGAUGAACAACCUUACAAAUAGACUUAAUUGGCUGGAGCUUUGUGAUAUCACUGCAGCAAAAGAAGACCAUAUAACAACCUGUAUAUCUCUCUAACAUCCAUUUGGUAUAUAGCAAAGCAUCUGUUGAUAGCUUGUCAGCUUCACCAAGAAUGAUAGCUGUGUACAUUACAAAUGAAGUAAGUGAUCAUUUCUAAGGCUUUCCUUGUCCAUUUUUGGGUACUACAAAUUGCAAAAGCUUGUAAUACCUUUACAGUCUUCAGGAUGGCAAGGUGCUGAUCUGAUGGAUGCUUUGUGCUUUCUCUCAUUGAUUAGUUCUACGAUGACAUGUUUCUCAUAGCCUUUAGUUUCAGAGAGAUUGAUCUCAACAUGUUUCUUUGAUUCCUUCACAUUUACUUGGAUGCUCGGCACUGCUUCUCCCUGAAAUGCAUUGCAUUUUGAGAAGGUCCUUUCACUGUUCUACUUGAUUUAAUUUGAUUUAAACUUCUAUGUUUUGACAUGUAAAAAAUAAGAUUUUAACUUCCGUGCAUUGAUAAUAAUGUCUAAUUUUCUAUAACCAGUCUAAAUUUUACACUGUUAUAAGUUAAAACCAUUUAAAUAUAUAAGCUGGAGAUGUGCUUUUUAUAAAUACAUGAAGUGAUAUUUGUGGCUUUUACAGUCAUAUUCUAGACCGAAAGAUAGUCUGUCAUUGGAUGGUGUAGUUGAAUGCUUAAAAUUAUUUCUACAAUAUUAGUUUUCAUAGACAUACUUUCAGGGGAUACAAAUGAAUACUUGCCGUCUGAUGCCUUGUGCACAUUUGUCCCGUGUUGUGAUCAUGAACGAGUAGAAUGUUACAUGAAAUGAAUAGACUUUUAUGUCUUUAGAAGACUUGGAAAUUACUCCAUUUAUUUCAAUUUGCUGAUACUUUUCGUUUGUGAGGCUCGGUCUGUGAUCCUUGGAAAACAGAGAUCCUUUUAGUAAUAAAAGACGUCACUUAUAUUAUGGCAGUAUACUGGUAAAACUUUUUCAAUAUGUUCAAAUGCCACCAAUAAUAGACAUCUAAUGGGCUCUAUAUAUGAAACACAUUUUCAGAUCUUUGUAUGCAUAAUCUAUGAACACAAUACAAAGGUCUUCAUACCUUUAAGUAGAACACCUUGCACUUUUUUCUUGCCUGUAAAAGCAAAGAAACCAUCAUCAGUCAAUGAUUUGAUAAGUGCUGAUAUCGGCGAUUCUCUGAUAGAACAUGAUAUCGGCGAUUCUUGGAUUUAACAUACAUACACUGACAUUGUUAAAAAAUGUUUUUACUAUCAGCGUACUUUAACAUGUUACAGCAGGUAACCAACCUAUUUUUUUUUUUUUUGGUUACUACUCUUACUUUCCAUGCAUAGUUAUUUGUAGUUACUUUUAAGGUGACUUAUUACUUGAAAAGUUUGUUUGCACUUGUAGUAUAUAGAAGUUAAACUCGUGAUAUUUACAACUCACGUCUAGCUUUUUAUUACUAAAGUGGCAAAUUAACAUAUUUUCUGGAUUAAACCUUUUGAUACUUUUGUAGCUUUAAAGAGAAUCAAUUAAAUGUACACUAUAUAUACCUGUAAUUUAUCAUGUCCAAAAACUUCGCGAAGCAGAGCAAAUAUCAUGGUUCUUUUCCCUACUCCUGGCUGUCCUGCAAAUAUAUAAUGACGAUUACUGCUAUCUGUUUCUGCCUGCAAAUUUUAGAAUCCAAAAAGCGUGUCGUGUCUUAGUAUUUUGCUAUGAAUAAGGAAAAUUUGGAAAAAGAUUGUUCAAGAUUAAUUUCAUAUAUACCAGAGCCUUCAGUUCAAGUGCAGUAUUUCUAUUGCAUAGAAAAUCUUUAAGAGCAUUAGGCCUAUACUUAUCAGCCCAUUUAAAUCUUUUGUCUUUCUGUUCUGGACUUGUAAUAUCCUGCUCCUUUGUAGUAUCUUUUUCAUCCUCUGUAGUUUGAGUUGGUGAAGCUGGUAAUGGUACUGCUUCAAUUUCUUCAUCUUGCAAUGACGUUUGCAAUAUUAAUGGAGUUGGCGGUGGAGAUGGUAUUGACAAUUUUGGUGGUGAUGUUAUUGGUGGUGCAGGGGGUGGUGGUAGUACUACUAUAUUUGUUUGCAUUUCUGAUGCUCUCUCCCUCAAAGGCUUCCCCUGAUCUGAUUUUGAAAGUCUGUGUCUGCUUUUUCUUGAACUUCUUCUAACUCCUUUGCGAUCUAUACCAAGUUCUUCUCCGAUUGUCGUUCUGAUUACUCCUUUAUCUUUUGUCUCUGAUGAAGAAGAAUCUUGGAUGUUCUUGUUCCCAGUAGAAGUAGUCAAGGAGGAGGAUGUUCUUUCUUCUUUGCCUUUGCGUACAAAGUAAGAUGCACUCCAUUCUUGUACCUGGUGAGACAUAAUAUAAUUAAGUAAUUAAAAAAAUAUAUGCUCUCUUAAACGGUUUAAGCUUUUAGACGAAAUGGUCACGCGCUUCAACAUUACCUUGCUGGCUAAAUUGGAUUUAGAAUUUGAACUUGUAGAAGAAGCCGAUAUGCUAUCUUUUCCAGGACUACUAAACUCUGCUAAUAACUUCUGUCGAUUAAUCACUUUGGAUGAAUCAGUAAGUCCUUUAUAAUAUGGACUUCUUGCAGAGUAUCUCUUUUCUUCUUGAAUUGUAUUUCUUUUAUUGAAUUCCGCGAGAUUAUCAGCUGUUAAAUUUGAGUUAUUUGAAGAUGAGCCAACCUUUCUUGAUAUAAGCUCAUUUGCUUUUUUAGGCCAUGUUGGUUUUAAUGAGUCAGCUGAUUUGGAGGAUCUUACUGAAGGAGGUAUUGUAAGUGAGUUUGUAGGAGAAUUUUGAGUUUCUGAUAUGUUGUAGGGAACAGAUUUUGAACGUGGGAUUGAUGGACUCGGCAUUGAAGAGCUGAGAUUGAAAGUUGCUGUGUAGAAAAGAGGAUUAAUAAGGAGGUAAUAAAAAAGAACUCUGUAAGUUAACUCAAUUAUAUGAUAUUAAUGUGAAUGGAAAAAAGAUACUUUCAACAGUA